Molecule: ribosomal RNA, 404 nt
Filed under: uncultured Hyphomicrobiaceae bacterium
Lineage: Bacteria; Pseudomonadati; Pseudomonadota; Alphaproteobacteria; Hyphomicrobiales; Hyphomicrobiaceae
Description: bacterial SSU rRNA
Rfam family: Bacterial small subunit ribosomal RNA
Source: RNAcentral
UGGGGAAUCUUGGACAAUGGGGGCAACCCUGAUCCAGCCAUGCCGCGUGAGUGAAGAAGGUCUUCGGAUUGUAAAGCUCUUUUGCCAGGGACGAUAAUGACGGUACCUGGAGAAUAAGCCCCGGCAAACUUCGUGCCAGCAGCCGCGGUAAUACGAAGGGGGCUAGCGUUGUUCGGAAUUACUGGGCGUAAAGCGCACGUAGGCGGGUGGUUAAGUCAGGGGUGAAAUCCCGGAGCUCAACUCCGGAACUGCCUUUGAUACUGGCCAUCUAGAGAUCGGAAGAGGUGAGUGGAAUUCCCAGUGUAGAGGUGAAAUUCGUAGAUAUUGGGAAGAACACCAGUGGCGAAGGCGGCUCACUGGUCCGAUACUGACGCUGAGGUGCGAAAGCGUGGGGAGCAAACAGG